RNAcentral lists this unclassified non-coding RNA (240 nucleotides) under soil metagenome. RNAcentral describes it as "partial contains 5.8S ribosomal RNA, internal transcribed spacer 2, and large subunit ribosomal RNA". The record is from RNAcentral.
AACGGUCUAUACCUGCGGUACCUGCGGAGGGAUCAUUACUGAAAGAUACUAGGGCUUUGAGACUGCGUCUAAAAUGGACGUGUGCUCGGCUCUUACUCUUUAUCCACACACACCUCUGUGCACUAUGGGAUGUAAAAGUCCCCCUUUUCACACAAAAACCGAGUUAUAUGCAUGUUAUUUAUGCUCUACGGAGUAAUAUACAACUUUUAACAACGGAUCUCUAGAUCGGAAGAGCACACG